AUGGCAAACGCGCGUUUCGGCCGGAGCAAGGCACAACGCGAAGGGGAGCGGACGCGAGCGACGUGGCACAACGCGCGCACGGAUGCGGCCGACCGAAGCGAGGCACGGCGCGCGGCGCGCGCGCGGACGGACGGUGUUGCGGUGGUGAUGACGAAGAGGCCGACGGCAAGGACGCGCCACCCCUCACGGCCGCUUCGGGGGCAUGUCGAAGUCGAGCCCCCGAGCGCUACCGGAGAGACGGUGCGACGCCGCAGCGGUGAUGGCAAAGAUGGUCCCGCCCGGACUGCGAAACCAGCAGCAGCAUGGUAG
RNAcentral lists this ribosomal RNA (309 nucleotides) under Triticum aestivum (bread wheat). Its description in RNAcentral is "partial small subunit ribosomal RNA". The record is from RNAcentral. Lineage: Eukaryota; Viridiplantae; Streptophyta; Magnoliopsida; Poales; Poaceae.